UACGUAGGUGGCAAGCGUUGUCCGGAUUUACUGGGCGUAAAGGGCGUGCAGGCGGUUUGUUAAGUGCAGGGUGAAAGCUCCCGGCUCAACUGGGAGAGGUCCUUGCAUACUGGCAAACUCGAGGGAGGCAGAGGAAAGUGGAAUUCCCGGUGUAGCGGUGAAAUGCGUAGAUAUCUGGAGGAACACCGGUGGCGAAGGCGGCAUCCUGGACCGGCAUUGACGCUGAGUGAGCGAAAGCCAGGGGAGCAAACGGG
This 254-nucleotide ribosomal RNA is filed under the name uncultured bacterium. Its description in RNAcentral is "partial 16S ribosomal RNA". It matches the Rfam family "Bacterial small subunit ribosomal RNA", at positions 524 to 776 of the family's 1533-position model. The record is from RNAcentral.